Molecule: ribosomal RNA, 431 nt
Filed under: uncultured bacterium
Lineage: Bacteria
Description: partial 16S ribosomal RNA
Rfam family: Bacterial small subunit ribosomal RNA
Source: RNAcentral
CCUACGGGCGGCUGCAGUCGAGAAUCAUUCGCAAUGGGCGAAAGCCUGACGAUGCGACGCCGUGUGAGCGAUGAAGGCCUUCGGGUUGUAAAGCUCUUUCGCUUAGGAACGAGUACUAGGUAAAGAAGCACCGGCUAACUCCGUGCCAGCAGCUGCGGUAAUACGGAGGGUGCAAGCAUUAAUCGGAAUUACUGGGCGUAAAGGGCGCGUAGGCGGGUUUAAAAGUCAGAUGUGAAAUUCCGGACCUCAAUUUCGGAACUGCAUUUGAAACUCUAAAUCUAGAGGGUAGGCGGAGAAAAUGGAAUUCCACGUGUAGCGGUGAAAUGCGUAGAUAUGUGGAAGAACACCAGUGGCGAAAGCGAUUUUCUACUAUACCUGACGCUGAGGCGCGAGAGCAAGGGGAGCAAACAGGAUUAGAUACCCUAGUAGUC